AACUUUUAGCAAUGGAUCACUUGGCUCUCGCAUCGAUGAAGAACGCAGCGAAAUGCGAUAAGUAAUGUGAAUUGCAGAAUUCAGGGAAUCAUCGAAUCUUUGAACGCACCUUGCACCCUUUGGCAUUCCGAAGGGUAUGCUCGUUUGAGUGUCAUUGUACUCUCACACUCCCGAUGCUUUUGGAUUUGGAGUGGUGGACUUGGGUGUUGCUGCUUUACUGUGGCUCACCUCAAAUGGAGUAGUGCAACUAAUGGUUGGACAUAGUACGGCGUGAUAAGUGUCUUCGCCGGCGCCUCAUUAGAGGGUGGCCGAUCGGGAGCUCUGUGCUUCAAACCGUCUUCGGACAACAUCUGACAACUUGACCUCAAAUCGAGUAGGACUACCCGCUGAACUUAAGCAUAUCAAUAAGCGGAGCU
This 416-nucleotide unclassified non-coding RNA is filed under the name uncultured Sebacina. RNAcentral's name for it is "sequence contains ITS2". The stretch from base 1 to 154 matches the Rfam family "5.8S ribosomal RNA". The record is from RNAcentral. Lineage: Eukaryota; Fungi; Basidiomycota; Agaricomycetes; Sebacinales; Sebacinaceae.